Molecule: long non-coding RNA, 1935 nt
Organism: Lotus japonicus
Lineage: Eukaryota; Viridiplantae; Streptophyta; Magnoliopsida; Fabales; Fabaceae
Exons: 9
Source: RefSeq, a predicted model, not a curated record
ACCAAUCUGCUACCUCACGACGUAAUCUCGACCUGCUACUUCUCUCAAAGCCCUCGCCACCUCCUGCCUCCACCGUCCUUGCUGUCGCCGCCUCCAUCCCUUGGAUCGGCGAUGGUUUUGCGGUCGUUCAUCGACGCGGGUUAGAGUCAAUCGGCGUCGUUUUGGAUGGAGACGCAGCUAGAUUGAGUGAGGAGGGUCGAGAUGAUGGCGUUGGAGACGGCGAAGACGCCAGGAGAUUAGCGAAACGACGUUGCAUAGUUCCUGAAUGCGAAGGGUUUUCGAGACUGUAGCUUUGAAGAGCGUUGCUUCCACCGUGUAAAUCAUGAUGUGGAGACUCCAGGUGAACAAUGUAUUGUUAGAGGGAACACCCAUCAGUUCCCCUUUCAGCUCUCUGGAAGAGCGAAUUGGCGAAUGAGAAAACUAAGAACCGGAGAUGGUAGAGGCUAGCGAGAACAAGAAAGGAGAGGAUCUCAUGCUACUAAAAAUCGAAUGCCAAAGGGUGGUGGGAGAUGGAGUGUGUACAUACUCUGUUUUUUUAAGGAUCAGGAGGUAUUCGCCGACUGAAAUUGAAGGCAUACACAAGAAUAUAUACGAGAUGGCAUUGACUGGGCUAAAGUUGAAUUAUACCUGUACCCUUCCUUGGAUGCUGUCAUUUCGGUUCAAACUGAUUUACGGAAGGCACACUUCCAUUAGCAAUGGAUUCACUCUUCUCCUUAUCUCUCUAUGUGGAUAAUGAUGUCUUAUGCUUGAUUGUGUUGUGUUUAUUAGGGUUUCAUUUCGAUUACAUUUCAAAUUUGUUGUUUUGUAUUUGAUUUAGGUUUGAAAUUGAUAUCGUUAACUUAUAAUUUUUAUUUCAGAUCUUUCUCUCUUUGAAUGCUGCAAUUUAAUAUUUGGAUUUGUGGGAGAUGGUGAUUCCGGUGUUGUGUUGCAGGUUUUGGAUGCAUGUGUCGAUCAUAAGAUGCGUUCAGUCUCUCAUACAAUACUUUCUUGAUUCUUCACUCUACUCCACCCUCACAACAUCGAUUCUCAGAAUUGAAGGGAAUAUGAAGAACACCUCUGUCCAAGCAUAGUUGCCUAUGCUACAGUCCCCGAAAAAGAAGCAGGUAGCUUGUACCAUCCACUUCACAAGUGACAAGAAGAACCAAAUUAACACCAUCUUCUUUUAAUGUGACAAAGUAAUGUGAGAAAGUCUUGAUUUGAUCAUUUAUGUGAAUGACAACUUCAAAGGCCAUCUCUGUUUCUUAAUUGAACACCAAGGUGGACAUGUGCUUCAAUGUUAAAAAUGCAUAUGGGCUAAGUGACGGAGUCAGAGAGAAGAUUAUACAAAUGCAUGAUAAAAACCAUAUCAAGAUGGAUGAGGAGCUUGAGAUUUCUUCCACCAGAACUAGAAAGCAGAAGUUUGUCUUCUCACAUUUGUUGUCUGCUUCCUUCUAUAUUGACCUCAGGUGAGCGUUGUUGGCUUCGUUGAUCACGGCGAAUGUAGCCUGGCUGUGACCACCAUUCACGUGGAGAGCAUUCAACCUCCUUCCUCUGAUGCCCUGGCCAUGUUGGUCGCUGGAACCUUAUUGGGAACCUCUGCCUCCCAUACUGUACGUUGCGUGUAUGACCUGUCGAGGUAUGCCCCAGUCGCUGCCAUUGCCACCAUGAUCGGGGCUUCCAAACGUUACUUCUCUCUCUAGUCCCUCUCUCUCUCAUCCCUCAUGUACCGAGGAUAGUAGAGCUUCUCGCGAGGGUUAGUUGGAGGAGCUAGUCUUUCAUUUAUGGUUUAGUUAGGGGAGUCAUGAUCGGUUAUGUAACACGGGGAAACGUUUUGUUUUGUACCUUGAUGUUAAGAGUUAUUUUAUAAGCUCUCUUUAUUUAUUUUUGGAUUAUGUUUUAUUUUGGGAGUUGAAAUAAAUCCGUUGUGCUAUGCAUAUGAUGUUGAGACAUCAAAGU